CACAUGCAAGUCGAACGGGCGUAGCAAUACGUCAGUGGCAGACGGGUGAGUAACGCGUGGGAACAUACCUCUUGGUUCGGAACAACACAGGGAAACUUGUGCUAAUACCGGAUAAGCCCUUACGGGGAAAGAUUUAUCGCCGAGAGAUUGGCCCGCGUCUGAUUAGCUAGUUGGUGGGGUAAAGGCCUACCAAGGCGACGAUCAGUAGCUGGUCUGAGAGGAUGAUCAGCCACAUUGGGACUGAGACACGGCCCAAACUCCUACGGGAGGCAGCAGUGGGGAAUAUUGGACAAUGGGCGCAAGCCUGAUCCAGCCAUGCCGCGUGAGUGAUGAAGGCCCUAGGGUUGUAAAGCUCUUUUGUACGGGAAGAUAAUGACGGUACCGUAAGAAUAAGCCCCGGCUAACUUCGUGCCAGCAGCCGCGGUAAUACGAAGGGGGCUAGCGUUGCUCGGAAUCACUGGGCGUAAAGGGUGCGUAGGCGGGUUUUUAAGUCAGAGGUGAAAUCCUGGAGCUCAACUCCAGAACUGCCUUUGAUACUGAAAGUCUUGAGUAUGGGAGAGGUGAGUGGAACUGCGAGUGUAGAGGUGAAAUUCGUAGAUAUUCGCAAGAACACCAGUGGCGAAGGCGGCUCACUGGCCCAUAACUGACGCUGAGGCACGAAAGCGUGGGGAGCAAACAGGAUUAGAUACCCUGGUAGUCCACGCCGU
This 707-nucleotide ribosomal RNA is filed under the name Bradyrhizobiaceae bacterium Z95_3. RNAcentral's name for it is "bacterial SSU rRNA". It matches the Rfam family "Bacterial small subunit ribosomal RNA", at positions 52 to 803 of the family's 1533-position model. The record is from RNAcentral. Lineage: Bacteria; Pseudomonadati; Pseudomonadota; Alphaproteobacteria; Hyphomicrobiales; Nitrobacteraceae.